CCAAUAGCGUAUAUUAAAGUUGUUGCAGUUAAAAAGCUCGUAGUUGAAUUUCGGAAUCAAUUUGUUGGUCGUGCCUCGGUACGUACUGGUAUUAUUGGUUUCUACCUUCUGAAGAACCUUGAUGUCAUUAAUUUGGUGUCUUGGGGAAUCAGGACUGUUACUUUGAAAAAAUUAGAGUGUUUAAAGCAAGCAUACGCUUGAAUACAUUAGCAUGGAAUAA
RNAcentral lists this ribosomal RNA (220 nucleotides) under uncultured Glomus. Its description in RNAcentral is "partial small subunit ribosomal RNA". It matches the Rfam family "Eukaryotic small subunit ribosomal RNA", at positions 591 to 817 of the family's 1831-position model. Lineage: Eukaryota; Fungi; Glomeromycota; Glomeromycetes; Glomerales; Glomeraceae. The record is from RNAcentral.